This 807-nucleotide long non-coding RNA is filed under the name Cairina moschata (Muscovy duck). RNAcentral's name for it is "domestica (muscovy Duck (domestic type)) lncRNA (ENSCMMG00000011092.1)". Lineage: Eukaryota; Metazoa; Chordata; Aves; Anseriformes; Anatidae. The record is from RNAcentral.
UCCAAUGCUGCUAUUUGUGGUGGCAUUUUUCAGUGUGUUAAUCUAACAUAUGAAAUUCAAAUAGCAUAGAAUUUCAGAUACAUCACAUGGCACUGUUUCUGUUUCCUGUUGGGUAAGGGUAUGAGUGCUCUGCAGCCAGGAUUUGUAAGUAAUUCAAAAUUCAUCUUCCUUGCUUAGUCAGGCAUGUAACUUUGAAGUUUACCAAUUAGCCUCCUGAAAGAUAAAUGCAGUAAAUCAUGUGCUGUGAUAGGUGAACUUGUGUUCAAAUAAUUCAUGGAAGCAUAAUAAUUUAUAGAACUUUCUUGACAUUAUUUAUCUAAGUAUAGUUCAAUACGUUUUGAUGCAUGUAUUUUCCAGACAAACAUUCCUCUCAGUUACAUCUCACUGUAGAAAGGCAAAGUUGGAGAACUCAGCAAAAUUUCAGGAGUGAAAUCUUGAGGACCUCAUCUGUUGUGAUAGGUGUACACGCAUGAGAAAAAAAAGUGGUCUUUACCCCAGCUGCCCUGCAGCCAGAGCCUACAGUAGAAGAGUUUGUAACAACCUAGGACAUGUCCUUCUGGAAAGGGAGGGAAGCAGAUGCAUCACCAUUUUGAAGUGGCUGUCUUUAUCCCUGGAAAAGCUGGUUUUAUAACCCAUGGCUCUGAAGCCUGGAGUGGCAAAGAAAUGACCACAGAGUUUAUGAACCUUGUGCUUCUGGCACUCCAGCAAAGAUAUGUCUUAAAAGUCCGACAGGAGGAUGAACUUCUGUUCAACAGCCCAUCCUUUAAUAGAAGUAAGAUCAAAGCAAUGUCAAGCAAAUGUUGCUAA